RNAcentral lists this ribosomal RNA (311 nucleotides) under uncultured bacterium. Its description in RNAcentral is "bacterial SSU rRNA". It matches the Rfam family "Bacterial small subunit ribosomal RNA", at positions 773 to 1076 of the family's 1533-position model. The record is from RNAcentral.
AGGGAAUAGAUACCCGGGUAGUCCUGGCCGUAAACGAUGUCCACUAGAUCGUGGUGGCUCUGACGCCAUCACGGUCGAAAGCAAAAGUGCUAAGUGGACCGCCUGGGAAGUACGGUCGCAAGGCUAAAAACUCAAAGGAAUUGACGGGGGCUCACACAAGCGGUGGAGCAUGUGGUUCAAUUCGAAGCAACGCGCAGAACCUUACCUGGGCUUGACAUGCUAGGAUUAUCCCUAUGAAAGUAGGGUAGGCCCUUGGGGUACAACUAGUACAGGUGCUGCAUGGCUGUCGUCAGCUCGUGUCGUGAGAUGUC